RNAcentral lists this ribosomal RNA (506 nucleotides) under uncultured bacterium. Its description in RNAcentral is "partial 16S ribosomal RNA". It matches the Rfam family "Bacterial small subunit ribosomal RNA", at positions 30 to 523 of the family's 1533-position model. The record is from RNAcentral.
AUUGAACGCUGGCGGCAGGCCUAACACAUGCAAGCCGAACGGUAACAGGAAGAAGCUUGCUUCUUUGCUGACGAGUGGCGGACGGGUGAGUAAUGUCUGGGAAACUGCCUGAUGGAGGGGGAUAACUACUGGAAACGGUAGCUAAUACCGCCUAACGUCGCAAGACCAAAGAGGGGGACCUUCGGGCCUCUAGCCAUCGGAUGGGCCCAGAUGGGAUUAGCUAGUUGGUGGGGUAACGGCUCACCAAGGCGACGAUCCCUAGCUGGUCUGAGAGGAUGACCAGCCACACUGGAACUGAGACACGGUCCAGACUCCUACGGGAGGCAGCAGUGGGGAAUAUUGCACAAUGGGCGCAAGCCUGAUGCAGCCAUGCCGCGUGUAUGAAGAAGGCCUUCGGGUUGUAAAGUACUUUCAGCGGGGAGGAAGGGAGUAAAGUUAAUACCUUUGCUCAUUGACGUUACCCGCAUAAGAAGCACCGGCUAACUCCGUGCCAGCAGCCGCAGUAA